GACGUAGGAUGCAAGCGUUGUCCGGAUUUAUUGGGCGUAAAGAGUUCGUAGGCGGUUUAUUAAGUCUGGUGUUAAAGAUUGGGGCUCAACCCUGGGACAGCACUGGAUACUGGUAGGCUGGAGUGUGGUAGAGGUAAGUGGAAUUCCAGGUGUAGCGGUGAAAUGCGUAGAUAUCUGGAAGAACACCGGUGGCGUAAGCGACUUACUGGGCCAUAACUGACGCUGAGGAACGAAAGCUAGGGUAGCGAAUGGGAUUAGAUACCCCAGUAGUCCUAGCCGUAAACGAUGGAUACUAGGCGUAGUGGGUAUCGACCCCCGCUGUGCCGUAGCAAACGCGCUAAGUAUCCCGCCUGAGUAGUACGGCCGCAAGGUUG
Molecule: ribosomal RNA, 374 nt
Filed under: uncultured bacterium
Lineage: Bacteria
Description: bacterial SSU rRNA
Rfam family: Bacterial small subunit ribosomal RNA
Source: RNAcentral